GAUGAACGCUGGCGGCGUGCCUAAUACAUGCAAGUCGAGCGGACGGACGAGAAGCUUGCUUCUCUGAUGUUAGCGGCGGACGGGUGAGUAACACGUGGAUAACCUACCUAUAAGACUGGGAUAACUUCGGGAAACCGGAGCUAAUACCGGAUAAUCUUUUGAACCGCAUGGUUCAAAAGUGAAAGACGGUCUUGCUGUCACUUAUAGAUGGAUCCGCGCUGCAUUAGCUAGUUGGUAAGGUAACGGCUUACCAAGGCAACUAUGCAUAGCCGACCUGAGAGGGUGAUCGGCCACACUGGAACUGAGACACGGUCCAGACUCCUACGGGAGGCAGCAGUAGGGAAUCGUCCGCAAUGGGCGAAAGCCUGACGGAGCAACGCCGCGUGAGUGAUGAAGGUCUUCGGAUCGUAAAACUCUGUUAUUAGGGAAGAACAUAUGUGUAAGUAACUGUGCACAUCUUGACGGUACCUAAUCAGAAAGCCACGGCUAACUACGUG
RNAcentral lists this ribosomal RNA (497 nucleotides) under uncultured bacterium. RNAcentral's name for it is "partial 16S ribosomal RNA". It matches the Rfam family "Bacterial small subunit ribosomal RNA", at positions 28 to 507 of the family's 1533-position model. The record is from RNAcentral.